UGAAUUCUUGAAUCUGCUUCAUCAAACAACCAGAAUAGGCAAUGUCUUAAAUGCUUAAAUCUCCACCUUCUUCAUUUAUCAGAAAUGAAUGACAAAAUAUUAAAAAGUUUAUAGUUAGCGAUCACUGAUAAAUAAAUAUGAAAAAUUAUUCACUUCAAUUAUGCACAGAAUGCAUAUUGAAGUUUUUCAAGCAUCAAUUUUGACUUGGGGGCAUUUUG
RNAcentral lists this unclassified non-coding RNA (218 nucleotides) under Hevea brasiliensis (rubber tree). The record is from RNAcentral. Lineage: Eukaryota; Viridiplantae; Streptophyta; Magnoliopsida; Malpighiales; Euphorbiaceae.